RNAcentral lists this ribosomal RNA (411 nucleotides) under uncultured Sulfurovum sp. RNAcentral describes it as "bacterial SSU rRNA". It matches the Rfam family "Bacterial small subunit ribosomal RNA", at positions 355 to 774 of the family's 1533-position model. The record is from RNAcentral. Lineage: Bacteria; Pseudomonadati; Campylobacterota; Epsilonproteobacteria; Campylobacterales; Sulfurovaceae.
UGGGGAAUAUUGCACAAUGGACGAAAGUCUGAUGCAGCAACGCCGCGUGGAGGAUGACACAUUUCGGUGCGUAAACUCCUUUUAUGUGAGAAGAUAAUGACGGUAUCACAUGAAUAAGCACCGGCUAACUCCGUGCCAGCAGCCGCGGUAAUACGGAGGGUGCAAGCGUUACUCGGAAUCACUGGGCGUAAAGCGCGCGCAGGCGGCUUUGUAAGUUGGAUGUGAAAUCCUAUGGCUCAACCAUAGAACUGCAUCCAAAACUACUUAGCUAGAGUCUGGGAGGGGAAGAUGGAAUUAUAGUGUGUGAGGGGGGUAAAAAUCCGUAAAGAUCACUAGGGAAAUACCAAAAGCCGAAGCGCGAUCUUCUGGAACAGUACUGACGCUGAGGCGCGAAAGCGUGGGGAGCAAACA